AGAGUUUGAUCAUGGCUCAGAUUGAACGCUGGCGGCAUGCUUUACACAUGCAAGUCGAACGGCAGCACGGGCUUCGGCCUGGUGGCGAGUGGCGAACGGGUGAGUAAUGCAUCGGAACGUACCGUGUAGUGGGGGAUAACGUAGCGAAAGUUACGCUAAUACCGCAUACGCCCCGAGGGGGAAAGUGGGGGACCGCAAGGCCUCACGCUAUAUGAGCGGCCGAUGUCGGAUUAGCUAGUUGGUGGGGUAAAGGCCUACCAAGGCGACGAUCCGUAGCGGGUCUGAGAGGAUGAUCCGCCACACUGGGACUGAGACACGGCCCAGACUCCUACGGGAGGCAGCAGUGGGGAAUUUUGGACAAUGGGCGCAAGCCUGAUCCAGCCAUGCCGCGUGAGUGAAGAAGGCCUUCGGGUUGUAAAGCUCUUUCAGACGGAAAGAAAUCUCUUGGGUUAAUACCCUGGGAGGAUGACGGUACCGUAAGAAGAAGCACCGGCUAACUACGUGCCAGCAGCCGCGGUAAUACGUAGGGUGCGAGCGUUAAUCGGAAUUACUGGGCGUAAAGCGUGCGCAGGCGGUGAUGUAAGACAGAUGUGAAAUCCCCGGGCUCAACCUGGGAACUGCGUUUGUGACUGCAUCACUCGAGUACGGCAGAGGGAGGUGGAAUUCCGCGUGUAGCAGUGAAAUGCGUAGAUAUGCGGAGGAACACCGAUGGCGAAGGCAGCCUCCUGGGCCAGUACUGACGCUCAUGCACGAAAGCGUGGGGAGCAAACAGGAUUAGAUACCCCGGUAGUCCAA
This 795-nucleotide ribosomal RNA is filed under the name uncultured bacterium. RNAcentral's name for it is "bacterial SSU rRNA". It matches the Rfam family "Bacterial small subunit ribosomal RNA", at positions 8 to 798 of the family's 1533-position model. The record is from RNAcentral.